RNAcentral lists this long non-coding RNA (1224 nucleotides) under Marmota monax (woodchuck). The record is from RNAcentral. Lineage: Eukaryota; Metazoa; Chordata; Mammalia; Rodentia; Sciuridae.
AACAUGAGCCAUUCACCGCACAUGUGGCAGGUGUGGAUGACAGUUCACUUAGAUGAAAUAAACCUUUUAAACUUUUCUUUGAAUCAAAUUUGAAUUUAUAACCACUCUCCUAUCAAGCAGAUAAAGGAUUCAGUUGCAGCCCUUCUUUCCAUUUCCAGGAAGAAUGCAGAGGUACCUUGCUUUUGUGUACCACUGAGGUCUGGUUGGUCACUCUGGACACUAGUUACCAGUCUGCACUGGUUACCACAAAAGCAAAAGUCUCAUAGUGCCUUCAGAUGUACUCCUUCUGCUGUUGGAAUAGCCUGGGAUGAUAGCAACAGGGGGCUAUUCAUCCAGCAUAUUUCAGUGCAGGCAUACCAGUGAAACCCUUUUGUGAAGGAUUAGCAAAUAGACAUUAAGUUCUUUCCCAGCGGGAUCCCUCCCCUAUGAGAGUCACACCUCCUCAAUGACACGGCAAUUAAUGGAAUCACACCUGACAGAAGGACCAGUUACUACUUAUAUUUAGUAAUUGCAACUUAGAGUUUUUAAGACUUUUACCUUGGUCAUGAACAUUUUAGUCAAAGCUGGAAAUUACAGUGUCAUUUCCCUAUAGUAUCUUGCCAGGAAGAUGCCAAGAAGCUGUGUGCCUAUUGUUCUGGGAACCACAAUUUCCAGGAUCUGUUUCAGAAUCUUCUUAAUCUAAAAAGUGACUCCUUUCUCUUCUUAUUCUCCUCCAAAGCCCAGUCUUCUUCUCAAAUCUUAUCUUCCUCUCUUUCCAGGAUAUUUAGCCUAAUUUUCUGAUUGACCUUCAGAUUUGGAAUAGGGAAACCAGGACAGAAAUGACUUGAAAGAAAAAUCUUGAUUUCUUUUUUCCUUUCCACAAAUUACCAGUUAAGCAAGAGAAGCACACAGCCUGCUACUAGUAUAAUGUUGGGGAUUAGGGAUGAUAAAUGAAGGAGGAAAGUAGAGCGAGAAAAACAUAAAUGCCCCGUGUGAUUUAUGUAUGAAGAGCAUCCAAAUGAUGAAAGUUUCAGAGAUACCCUCAUAAAGAUGCAUGUGAAUAUAAGAUCUGAGAGGUUAAGCCCUAGAGCAAAGAUACUACUGUCCCUUCCAGACACUCCAUGGAAGGCUACUGCUACUUUUUAUCAUCAUGACCCAUGCUAAUUCUUCUCUGAAUAGACCAAUAUUUUUCUGAUGAACACAUUCCUUUGAACCAUUUUAAUGUGCACAGUCAACUGAUAAAUU